GACUCUCGGCAACGGAUAUCUCGGCUCUCGCAUCGAUGAAGAACGUAGCGAAAUGCGAUACUUGGUGUGAAUUGCAGAAUCCCGUGAACCAUCGAGUCUUUGAACGCAAGUUGCGCCCGAAGCCACUAGGCCGAGGGCACGUCUGCCUGGGUGUCACGCAACGUCGCCAAUGCCCAAAU
Molecule: ribosomal RNA, 179 nt
Filed under: Zapoteca tetragona
Lineage: Eukaryota; Viridiplantae; Streptophyta; Magnoliopsida; Fabales; Fabaceae
Description: 5.8S ribosomal RNA
Rfam family: 5.8S ribosomal RNA (bases 1-156)
About the family: 5.8S ribosomal RNA (5.8S rRNA) is a component of the large subunit of the eukaryotic ribosome. It is transcribed by RNA polymerase I as part of the 45S precursor that also contains 18S and 28S rRNA.
Source: RNAcentral